Molecule: transfer RNA, 73 nt
Filed under: Ailuropoda melanoleuca (giant panda)
Lineage: Eukaryota; Metazoa; Chordata; Mammalia; Carnivora; Ursidae
Rfam family: tRNA
About the family: Transfer RNA (tRNA) molecules are approximately 80 nucleotides in length. Their secondary structure includes four short double-helical elements and three loops (D, anti-codon, and T loops). Further hydrogen bonds mediate the characteristic L-shaped molecular structure. tRNAs have two regions of fundamental functional importance: the anti-codon, which is responsible for specific mRNA codon recognition, and the 3' end, to which the tRNAs corresponding amino acid is attached (by aminoacyl-tRNA synthetases). tRNAs cope with the degeneracy of the genetic code in two manners: having more than one tRNA (with a specific anti-codon) for a particular amino acid; and 'wobble' base-pairing, i.e. permitting non-standard base-pairing at the 3rd anti-codon position.
Source: Rfam by way of RNAcentral
GCCUGGUUGGCUCAGUGGGUAGAGCGUGUGACUCUUGAUCUCGGGGUCAUGAGUUCAAGCCCCACAUUGGGUG